GACGUAGGGUGCGAGCGUUGUCCGGAUUUAUUGGGCGUAAAGAGCUCGUAGGCGGCUCGUCGCGUCGACCGUGAAAACCUGCAGCUUAACUGUGGGCGUGCGGUCGAUACGGGCAUCACUGGAGUUCGGCAGGGGAGACUGGAAUUCCUGGUGUAGCGGUGAAAUGCGCAGAUAUCAGGAGGAACACGGGUGGCGAAGGCGGGUCUCUGGGCCGAUACUGACGCUGAGGAGCGAAAGCGUGGGGAGCGAACAGG
RNAcentral lists this ribosomal RNA (254 nucleotides) under uncultured bacterium. Its description in RNAcentral is "partial 16S ribosomal RNA". It matches the Rfam family "Bacterial small subunit ribosomal RNA", at positions 524 to 776 of the family's 1533-position model. The record is from RNAcentral.